Molecule: non-coding RNA, 148 nt
Filed under: Nomascus leucogenys (northern white-cheeked gibbon)
Lineage: Eukaryota; Metazoa; Chordata; Mammalia; Primates; Hylobatidae
Source: Rfam by way of RNAcentral
GCUGGGCGUGGUGGUGCACGCCUGUAAUCCCAGCUACUCGGGAGGCUGAGGUGGGAGAAUUGCUUGAAACCAGGAGGCGGAGGUUGCAGUGAACUGAGAUGGUGCCACUGCACUCCAGCCUGGGUGACAGAGUGAGAGUCCAUCUCAA